This 465-nucleotide ribosomal RNA is filed under the name uncultured bacterium. RNAcentral's name for it is "partial 16S ribosomal RNA". It matches the Rfam family "Bacterial small subunit ribosomal RNA", at positions 28 to 507 of the family's 1533-position model. The record is from RNAcentral.
GACGAACGCUGGCGGCGUGCUUAACACAUGCAAGUCGAACGGAAAGGCCCUGCUUGCAGGGUACUCGAGUGGCGAACGGGUGAGUAACACGUGGGUGAUCUGCCCUGCACUUCGGGAUAAGCCUGGGAAACUGGGUCUAAUACCGGAUAGGAGCCAUUUUUAGUGUGAUGGUUGGAAAGUUUUUUCGGUGUAGGAUGAGCUCGCGGCCUAUCCGCUUGUUGGUGGGGUAAUGGCCUACCAAGGCGGCGACGGGUAGCCGGCCUGAGAGGGUGGACGGCCACAUUGGGACUGAGAUACGGCCCCGACUCCUACGGGAGGCAGCAGUGGGGAAUAUUGCACAAUGGGCGCAAGCCUGAUGCAGAGACGCCGCGUGGGGGAUGACGGCCUUCGGGUUGUAAACUCCUUUCGCUAGGGACGAAGCUUUUUGUGACGGUACCUAGAUAAGAAGCACCGGCUAACUACGUG